This 370-nucleotide unclassified non-coding RNA is filed under the name soil metagenome. RNAcentral's name for it is "partial contains 5.8S ribosomal RNA, internal transcribed spacer 2, and large subunit ribosomal RNA". The stretch from base 1 to 120 matches the Rfam family "5.8S ribosomal RNA", at positions 35 to 154 of the family's 154-position model. The record is from RNAcentral.
GAUGAAGAACGCAGUGAAAUGCGAUAAGUAAUGUGAAUUGCAGAAUUCAGUGAACCAUCGAAUCCUUGAACGCACAUUGCGCCCGGCAGUAAUCUGCCGGGCAUGCCUGUCCGAGCGUCAUUUCUACCCUCGAGCGAGUCCAGCAUCUAGGUGCUGGGCCUCGCCCGGCGUUGGAGCACUACGGGAAGCCCUGUGCUGUCCCCCGUAGGCCCCGAAAUGAAGUGGCGGUCCUGCCGCGGCGCCCCCUGCGUAGUAUAACAGCUCGCUUCGGGACCCGGUGGAGGCCUGCCGUCAAACCUAUACUCUCUAAGUUUGACCUCGGAUCAGGUAGGGUUACCCGCUGAACUUAAGCAUAUCAAUAAGCGGAGGA